This 424-nucleotide unclassified non-coding RNA is filed under the name soil metagenome. Its description in RNAcentral is "partial contains 5.8S ribosomal RNA, internal transcribed spacer 2, and large subunit ribosomal RNA". The stretch from base 1 to 120 matches the Rfam family "5.8S ribosomal RNA", at positions 35 to 154 of the family's 154-position model. The record is from RNAcentral.
GAUGAAGAACGUAGCGAAAUGCGAUACGUAAUGUGAAUUGCAGAAUUCAGUGAAUCAUCGAAUCUUUGAACGCAUAUUGCGCUCUCUGGUAUUCCGGAGAGCAUGCUUGUUUGAGUAUCAGUAAACACCUCAACUCCCUUUCUUCUUGAAAUGGAGUUGGACUUGAGUGAUCCCAACGCUUUAUUCAUAAAGUGGCGGGUUACUUGAAAUGCAGGUGCAGCUGGACUUUUCUCUGAGCUAUAAGCAUAUCUAUUUAGUCUGCCUCAAAACAGAUUAUUACCUUUGCUGCAGCUAACAUAAAGGAGAUUAGUUCUUGUGCUGACUGAUGCAGGAUUCACAAAGACCGCUUCGGCUGUCUUUGUAAACUCGAUCUCAAAUCAAGUAAGACUACCCGCUGAACUUAAGCAUAUCAAUAAGCGGAGGA